Non-coding RNA from Vicugna pacos (alpaca), 443 nucleotides. The record is from RefSeq and is a predicted model, not a curated record. Lineage: Eukaryota; Metazoa; Chordata; Mammalia; Artiodactyla; Camelidae.
CAGAAGGUGAGGGGGUGCUGGGGGUCCUCACUGGGCCUGACCUGCUGGGGCCCAGCCUCCCAGUGACUUCUCAGGACCCCCCCCCCAAGACAUGGCAAGCCACCCUCACCCAGGCCAGGAGAUGUGCACCCGGCUCUGUCCUAGGACCGGGCCCAGCGGUGAACCAUGCGACCAGGCGCUGUCCCACUGUCGAAUGGGCAGGAGGCUGCACUCAUGUCCUCACCACCAGGCCUCAACUCUGCCUCUACCCCAGAGGAAACCAAGGGAGGCUUCCCCAAGUCCCCUGCAGGAAUCAGAAUAUCCGGAACCAGCAGCGCUGUUCCUUCCCCGGCUAGAAGGAUCCUACCCGCCCACAGUCCAGCCUCACAUCUGGCCCAGGAAUCCAGGACACCUGGCAGCAUCUGAUACGCCAGCAGCUGCGUGAAUGCCUCCAGUGAUGAGGU